ACAUAUUUUAUGGAACCAGGUGUCGAGUGGAAGCAUUCGACUUAAUAGGGAAACCGGUGAAAUUCCGGUACGGUCGCGCCACUGUAAGCGGGGAGCUGCUCUAUUGCCACUGUUUCAAUGUUUGAAAUGGGAAGGCUGUGAGCACAAGCUAUGAUCCGCAAGUCAGGAGACCUGCCUGUUCUAUCAACACCAU
Molecule: non-coding RNA, 193 nt
Filed under: Paenibacillus beijingensis
Lineage: Bacteria; Bacillati; Bacillota; Bacilli; Caryophanales; Paenibacillaceae
Source: RNAcentral